RNAcentral lists this ribosomal RNA (254 nucleotides) under uncultured bacterium. Its description in RNAcentral is "partial 16S ribosomal RNA". It matches the Rfam family "Bacterial small subunit ribosomal RNA", at positions 524 to 776 of the family's 1533-position model. The record is from RNAcentral.
UACGGAGGGGGCAAGCGUUGUUCGGAUUUACUGGGCGUAAAGGGUGUGUAGGCGGUUGCGCAAGUCUGGUGUGAAAUCUUCACCGCUUAACGGGAAGAGGUCACUGGAAACUGCGUAACUCGAGUGUGGUAGAGGCAAGCGGAAUUCCUGGUGUAGCGGUGGAAUGUGUAGAUAUCAGGAAGAACACCUGUGGCGAAGGCGGCUUGCUGGGCCAUCACUGACGCUGAGACACGAAAGCGUGGGGAGCAAACGGG